Molecule: ribosomal RNA, 465 nt
Filed under: Vreelandella stevensii
Lineage: Bacteria; Pseudomonadati; Pseudomonadota; Gammaproteobacteria; Oceanospirillales; Halomonadaceae
Description: partial 16S ribosomal RNA
Rfam family: Bacterial small subunit ribosomal RNA
Source: RNAcentral
CCUACGGGGGGCAGCAGUGGGGAAUAUUGGACAAUGGGGGCAACCCUGAUCCAACCAUGCCGCGUGUGUGAAGAAGGCCCUCGGGUUGUAAAGCACUUUCAGUGAGGAAGAACGCCUGGUGGUUAAUACCCAUCAGGAAAGACAUCACUCACAGAAGAAGCACCGGCUAACUCCGUGCCAGCAGCCGCGGUAAUACGGAGGGUGCGAGCGUUAAUCGGAAUUACUGGGCGUAAAGCGCGCGUAGGUGGCUUGAUAAGCCGGUUGUGAAAGCCCCGGGCUCAACCUGGGAACGGCAUCCGGAACUGUCAAGCUAGAGUGCAGGAGAGGAAGGUAGAAUUCCCGGUGUAGCGGUGAAAUGCGUAGAGAUCGGGAGGAAUACCAGUGGCGAAGGCGGCCUUCUGGACUGACACUGACACUGAGGUGCGAAAGCGUGGGUAGCAAACAGGAUUAGAUACCCUGGUAGUC